GAGUCGCAGCUUGCAAGUGUUUUCGGCUUUACAGGUUGGACCUACAAAAAUGAGCUGAAAGAGAAAGAACACAGUGCCUAAAGUUAGUCACUGUUAUGGGCUUAAAUAAUAUGGACAUACAAAUACAGACAAACAGAUAGGAAUACAGAUUGAAUAUAUAUUUAGGUGUUGUUGAUUGUGUACUUACUCUAAUAUUUUUUUGUGUUGCACCACAAAAUAAAGUUAUCUUGAUUUCAUGCAUAGUUUUAUGACAUUCUCAAUAUAGAUGUGUAAAUGAAGUUGUUUGCUGUCACUCAGGCAUUACAGUUAGAUAGUUCUCAAUACAUGUUAUUUUAUGAAUAUUAUCAUUAUUUGUAUUAUUAUAGUGUAUGGUAAUAAAUUGAGAUUAAUGAAUUUUCAGUAAAUAUUGACAUCAGAUGAAUGGCAGCUAGAAGAAAUGCAGGCACACAGACAUCUGGGGUAAAUAUACUGUAUAAUGUUUAUGGUGUGAUGAGGGUUUUCUCUGAGCAGAUCGAACAAUCGAAUCUUGGAAAUAUGUUGUUGAUGCUCAAUUCUCUGGGUAUUGAUGAUCGUGCUCAUUUGCCUUUUGAAUUCUCCACCAGCAGAAACACUCGUCAUGGCUUCAGAACACUUUUCUGCUCUUGGAGCUCUUAGCAUCAAGGAGAACUAACAAGUUAGUUCAUCGUAUGGCUGAGUUUCCUGUUGAUCCUAUGCUGUCUAAGAUGCUGUUAGCAUCAGAAAUAUAUUAGUGCUCAAAGGAGAUUUUGACUAUCACAGCUAUGUUGUCUGUCAAUAAUGCAAUAUUUUAUCAACCCAAUGCAAAUGACUUUUGUUAUAUUGCUAAUUUACAGAAUAUGGAAUUGUUAGCUGGUUUCUUAGUUUGUUUGUGACAUACUUGAAGUUGAGCUACAUCGUAGCAGAAGUCACUCAAUGUUAAUUACAUAUGUGUGUUUAGCAUAAGAUAGUACAUGCUAAUAAUGCAUGAAAUACUAUUUCAGUCUGGUGGUGACCAUCUAUCACUGCUGAAUGUGUAUAAUCAAGGGUUCGAAACUGAUUUCUCCACUCAAUGGUGUUUUGAGAAUUUCAUUCAGAAUCGCACAACGCGUUGUGCUCGGAAUGUUAGAGAUCAGCUUGAAGGGCUGAUGGAGAGCUAGGGUGGAGAUUAAGAUGACAUCAAAUCUAAGUUGUCUAGGGGUGGACAAUACUAAACAGUAAAACAUCAGCAGGUUAGCUUAUUAAUUAAUAUAUAACUGUAAUUAUACACAGCUUACAUUUACAACUUACUGCAAAGAUAUAUGGACGUCGACAAUUGCUUCAGUUUUCAGUUUACUACAACUUAGUUGAAAUUGCAUAAUUGCUCUGGGAAGUCUUGGUUGUCCCGUCUAGAUUCAUUUUAGUCUAUAAGUGAUUUUUCUGAUUGUUAAGCCAUUGUGAUUUGGCGUAUUCUCACUUCUCAUUUAUAAGUACUAAAGAGGCAGUCGCUGCAGCAUUUAUCGUGUUUUCUUUCAUGUUAUUAUUAAAUGGUCAGAUAGUCAUAUUGUUUGCAAUAAUACAUUGAUUAGACAUACCAAGUGCUUCUAGCAUUUGAAUGUUGUUGGAAACUUUAUGGACAACAGGCUUGCAUAGAAGCAUUUGUCUCUGAUUUCUUUUCAGCUAGUGAUUGAAACAAUGGGUUGUAUUGACUGGAAGGAGUUUUCAUAAUAACAUGAUCAGUUGUUUCUCUUUCUGUGUAGACUGUUCACAUCCAUCUCAACAAUUGUCUAUUUGAGGAUCAGUCAAGAUGUUUAAUGUACCAAGGAUUAAUUAGCCUUCACAACAAAGGAAUAUAUACGAGGUAGGUGAUUGAAAUAGAAAAUCAGUGGCUGCUAGAAGUUGCACUGCAUUAUUACAAAGAAAGAGAACUGCAAGACAUGGCCACAAAGAAGUUACCUAAAACUGUAAUUGUUACCAAAGAACAAGCUUGUGCUGUCUAAGAAUCUAAAUUCUUUUUGUAGUGUUGAGUUUGGAACAAUAUACAAAUGUCCUCAAAA
Molecule: long non-coding RNA, 2030 nt
Organism: Corticium candelabrum
Lineage: Eukaryota; Metazoa; Porifera; Homoscleromorpha; Homosclerophorida; Plakinidae
Exons: 5
Source: RefSeq, a predicted model, not a curated record